RNAcentral lists this long non-coding RNA (2663 nucleotides) under Sus scrofa (pig). Its description in RNAcentral is "lncRNA (ENSSSCG00055018435.1)". Lineage: Eukaryota; Metazoa; Chordata; Mammalia; Artiodactyla; Suidae. The record is from RNAcentral.
AGAGUACAUUUUCCUACCCUUUGACUUUGGCCUCAUCCCUACAGCUUGUUUCAGCUGAUCGUGUGGUCAAAAGUGUACCACUUCUCAUCCUAGGCGUUAAGAGACUUUGUCUUUUUCUGCUUGCCCUCUUGUGCCUUUUGCAUUUCUGUUCUUUCUGCAACAUGAGCUUUCUGUGGAUAGCUGCUACUCCUUUAGCUGACCUGCAACAUUUUUCCCCCAUUUUUAAAAAAGUUUUACACAGUGUAGUUGAUUUACAAUGUUGUGAUAAUUUCUGCUGUACAACAAAGUGAUUCAGGUAUACAUGUGCACAUCCACUGUUUUUCAGUUUCUUUUCCCAUGUAGAUGAUCAUAGAAUAUUGGGUAGAAGUCUCUGUGCUAUACAGCAGGUCCCUGUUGGCCAAGCAUUCCAUAUACCUCAGUGUGCAUGUGCCAAUCCUAAACCUCCAGUCCAUCCAUCCUUCCACCUCUGGCCCUCAACUUGAAGCAGAGCCAGCAUAAAUUAUCUGAUUUCUAGUUGACCUGUAGAUAUGUGAGAAUAAAUGAUAGUUGUUUUAGGUCAAUGAGUUCUGAGAUGGUCUGUUACACAGCAUCUUUGUGGCAGUAGCUAACUGAUACAUGCAGUUCUAAAGAACCAUCUUACAAGUGAACUCUUGGAAUAUAACCCAUUAGGAAACUGGGAUUUUCCAGCAUUGCAGUAAGAUCACUAUUCUAUUUUUAAUGAGAAUUUUUUCUAUUUUUUAUUUAGUUACAGCCCAGUGACAGAACAAGAGCAUAAUUUGUUACCUGAUGAGACAAAGACUAAGAGAGUAUGUGUUGCAUCUAUAGAGAAUGACUAAUGGGUAUAGAGUGGUUUUCAAACAGCUCUGUGGCAUUCUAGGGCCUCUGGGAGUUUUCAUACAGACGCCCCAGCCUGGGAGUGCCUUCUCUCCUUCCUUCACCUAGUUUCAACUGUAGUAGGGCUCAUCUCAUUUGUUUUGGAUACUGGGCUUCUUUGUAAGAUUUUAUCUAAUUAAAAGGCUAAGAUAGUCUGAACACUCCAGUGAACUUGCAUUUCUGGGAACUCAAGGUUUUUUAUACCUGUCCAUGCUUUUGCUUCUGCCUAGACUGCUCUAGGCAGCCUCUCCCUCCCUUCCCCGGCCGCCCCCGCCUCUCUCUCAGCUUCUCUGUAGAGAGUUCCUGUUCAUUCCUCAGUAUUCGUGGUGGUUUAAUAAUAUGUCUGUGAGUUCUUUGAUAAGUUUUUCCUUCAAAAGUUGGGGCCUCGUUGCCAUCCCCUUAAGUGUUACUAAGUAUGCUUAGGAACUUCCAAGGAAUAGACUAUGUAGAAAGCAAGGGUGUGUGACGUCCAAGCUUCGGACCUUUCCGUCUCUGUCUCUGUCCCUGUCUCUUUCUCAGUUCACUCGUUCUCGGGAAUUCACCUGCAGUCUCAUGGGCACACUGAAGCAGCCCCAUGGAGAAGCCCACUGAGAGGGACUAAGUGAGGCCACCUCCCAACAGCUGUGUGAAUGCUCCUGACGGCCGCUUUAUGGGAAAUGUUGAGCCAGCCCUUGAAUUCUGGAUGCACAGAAACUAAAUGAGAAAAAAAAAUCUAUUUUGUGGUCAUUUGUUUUGCAAUAAUCAUAACUAAUACAGUCCCCAACUGAAAAGAUUUUUAUCUCUGAUAUGUUCCUGAAAUGCCUGAGUGUUAAUGAUUUUCUUCUUUCUCAUAGUCUUUAAUAUAUACCUUGUUUGCAGAAUUUGUUCCAUUGCAUUGUCUGUUUACAUUUCUGUCUCCUGCAUUAGGCUGUGAGAUAUUUGUAUUCUCAGAUGUCUGGCACAGUUCUUGGCAUCCUAUACAUUGAAUAAAGAAUUAAAAAAAUAGUCCAAAUCUGAAAAAAGUCACCCAGAGAAUAAGACAAAGGGUAAAAAUGUCAUCUCUGUCUCUGCUACAGUAACUCUUAGUUUUGACCAGAGAUGAUAAAUAAGCUGAGAAAUCCUCAAAUGGAAUCAAUACUGUAUUUUCACAACGUGCCAGCAGCUGCAGCUCUGAUUCAACCCUUAGCUUGGGAACCUCCAUGUGCCAUAGGUGUGGCCCUAAAGAAAGCAAAGCAAAACAAAACAAAACAAAACAAAAAAAAACAAAACAAAAAAAAAGAGGAGCUUGCUGAAAGAGGUGAAGAAGGAAGACAAGUGGGGCAGAGAUCAAAUACAUGUAGAGAGAAUAACCCUGGCUUCCGGUUUUCUAAUUCUAGUUCUGUUUGACUUGCAUGUAAUUUGUUUUCCAUCUGAGUUUCCAACCCGUUUCUGGGUUGCCUGUUGUAUCUUUACAAUAAAAUCCCCCACACUUUAGCUAAUUGGAGUGUAUUACUCCUUCUUUCAUCCACAUAGCACCUUUCUAAAAUAAUGCUGAAUUUUCAGAUGAAGUAUUGUUCUCAAGAGACCAUCAGGGGAGUAGUGUCAGCUCAUCAAUUUAGGCGCUAAACCAGCUUCCACCCAGGAAGCAAGAGGAAGACAGGUAUGGCUUCAGUGUAUUAUUAGUGAGAACUCUGGAAACAAGUUGGCACGUGCAUCUUGACCUCUGCUUGCUGAGAUUCUACCUGCUGAUGGCCAAGAUCUCAGCAGUCACUAUGGUCUACACUGACCAGAGCCAAGAACAUUUUGAAAAAAAAAACAAAAAAACAAAAAAA